This 271-nucleotide ribosomal RNA is filed under the name uncultured Synergistaceae bacterium. Its description in RNAcentral is "partial 16S ribosomal RNA". It matches the Rfam family "Bacterial small subunit ribosomal RNA", at positions 1116 to 1382 of the family's 1533-position model. Lineage: Bacteria; Thermotogati; Synergistota; Synergistia; Synergistales; Synergistaceae. The record is from RNAcentral.
GACUACGGGGUAGUAGCCGGGGCACUCUGGACGGGACUGCCAUCGACAAGAUGGAGGAAGGUGGGGAUGACGUCAAGUCAUCAUGGCCCUUAUGUCCAGGGCGACACACGUGCUACAAUGGCCGGCACAACGGGAAGCGAGUUCGCGAGGACGAGCGGAUCCCUCAAAGCCGGUCGCAGUUCGGAUUGAAGUCUGCAACUCGACUUCAUGAAGCUGGAAUCGCUAGUAAUCGUGGAUCAGCCAAGCCGCGGUGAAUACGUUCCCGGGCCUU